RNAcentral lists this ribosomal RNA (253 nucleotides) under uncultured bacterium. RNAcentral describes it as "partial 16S ribosomal RNA". It matches the Rfam family "Bacterial small subunit ribosomal RNA", at positions 524 to 776 of the family's 1533-position model. The record is from RNAcentral.
UACAGAGACUGCAAGCGUUAUUCGGAUUCACUGGGCGUAAAGGGUGCGCAGGCGGUUGCGUGUGUCAGGUGUGAAAUCUCGGGGCUUAACCCCGAAACUGCGCCUGAAACUACGUGACUAGAGCAUUGGAGAGGGUAGCGGAAUUCAUGGUGUAGCAGUGAAAUGCGUAGAUAUCAUGAGGAACACCAGAGGCGAAGGCGGCUACCUGGACAAUUGCUGACGCUCAGGCACGAAAGCGUGGGGAGCAAAAGGG